AAACACAGAAUGGAUGUUUCUCAAAAAAAAAACUGAAAGUAAUUGCAAGUUGUACCCUACUAGCACAGAAUGAGAAAACACUACCCAAGAUACAUAUAAUUUAAAAUCCAUUAAUAACACAUCCAAACAUAAAGGAGGGUCCAAGAAAUACAUCGCAGCAUUUGAUUCUAAACUGUUUGCCACGCCCCUAAGAAAUACUCAUCACAACAGCCUCGAGCUGGCUGAUAAGUCUACUCAUCAGUACUCAUUAGAAUCACGGAAACGAACCGGGGUCUCCAACACAUCGGUGACCCGCUGGACCAGCCACGGGAGACGCACCUGAAUCCAGGCAAUGUUGCAAUUAUAUUCGAGUACAUGAACAGCAAUAUCCUUUAGCACUAUGCUCAGCUCUUCGACUCGGGCUGAGACCAGAUCCUCCUCGUCAAGCACUAAGCCCAAGGCUUCCUUAAAGCACUUACUCAGAUGUAAGAGCUUAAUUGCUGAGUUCUUCAUGAGUAGGAGGGCUUCCAGGGCGCCCCGUUCCAGCUUGGCCUCCAGAACCAUGAGCUGGGGUAACACAUCAUCCUCGAGCUUUUGGAUUUCCAGCGACAAGCCUGCCACGACCGAGAGGGAAUCCAGCUCCGGGCAUGCCCAGGACCUCGACUCCAUGAUCAGCGGGCAGAGGAGUGCAUACGACUCGCGCGCUAUGCGCACCGACUCCAGAGAGACAAGAUUCACCUGCAUGUCAUUGGAGUGGCCCAGCUCAUCGGAGCGGGCCUGCAGGGCUUGGAUUUGGGCAUGGGAGUGGAUUUUGUAGAGCAUCUUUUCCUUUUGGCGGCGAAGAAGACUGCAGCAGAAGAGUUGCUGCUACCAGCUGGUACAGCACAAACAGAGGAGGAUUUAAUGUCAGGAAGAGACCAUACAGCAGCAAAUUUGCAUUGUGCGACAGAAUAGUUAAUAAUAUGAAGUGAAAGCAAUUCAGCCAUGUAUUUAUACUGAUAGGCAACUAAAAAAAAAUAAAUACACUCAAUCACCCAAAACAGGAAAAUAAUUAACAGAGGGAAUAUAAUAUAAUUUGGUUCAAAGUAGAUAGAGAUCCCAUCAUUCAUUGUAUUAUUGUGAGCAAGAAAAUUGCAUCUCCAGAAUUACAACCGACGCUGUGUGUGUUACCAAGCAAACCCUAACUAAAACGUCAGACUGAUUCCUUAUUAUAAUCGAACCCUGGGUGGUGUUACCAAACAAACCCUAGUUAAAUCCUAUCCUAGUCAUACGAAUACUCAAAGCCAGGCAGGAAAGGAUACAAGACCAACCACAAUCGGAACGAGCAACUCCGGAGGGAGACCACGCUGGCUGGAUCCAAGACCUACGAACCAAUCGGAACGAACUCCAAGCUGAUCGGGAUGUACAAGCAUGUGCUCACNNNNNNNNNNNNNNNNNNNNNNNNNNNNNNNNNNNNNNNNNNNNNNNNNNNNNNNNNNNNNNNNNNNNNNNNNNNNNNNNNNNNNNNNNNNNNNNNNNNNNNNNNNNNNNNNNNNNNNNNNNNNNNNNNNNNNNNNNNNNNNNNNNNNNNNNNNNNNNNNNNNNNNNNNNNNNNNNNNNNNNNNNNNNNNNNNNNNUGGAGAGGAGGACGAGGCGUCGGGUGAUGUGAGAUUCGGUCGACAGGGGGUUGCGGGGAACGGCGGCGAGGCGAUGGAGGGCGGGGGGGAGACGGAGGCGGGCGGCUUAUAUAGGAGGGAGGGCAAGAGGGGUUCGGGGGGUAAAAGCACAGAGCCCAAUAUGGCCCAGUUUGUACUGUGACUAAAAGACAUAUUUUAAGCUUGUGAAAUAAAGACCAGACUUGGCUAUGCUAUGCAAAAAAAAAAGCCAUUAAAAAGGGGGAAAUUGAGAACUAAAAAAUCCCAUCGAUGCAAACCAGAGAAUGACAUUCGUCUUUCACAAAAAAGAUUUUGCCAUGGACAAGAAGAUGCAAUGGCACAGAAAAAAAUGUCAUGGCAAGUUGCUUUGCAAGUAAAAACCCCUUGAAAAAAGAUGAAAGUGAAAAUUUUCCAUGUUACCAUGUUGAUAUAGAUAAUUUAGCCAUGGAAAAUAAAGAGUCAAAAUUACCAAGGCGGUUUAAGUAAAUUUUCCAAGGCAGUAUUGGUAAGCAAAUUAAUGUGAAAGUUCCAUGGCAAUAAUAGUUAAAUAUUUUCCAUGUAGAUAUAGGUAAUUUAGGCAUGAAAAUUUGUAAAAUUGCCAUGGCAAAUAAAAAGAGUAAGAAAUGCCAUGGCAAUAAAAGUGAAAAUUUGCCGUUAUAUUUAGCUAAAAUUUGUCAUGCCAAUUGAGGAUUGCGAUGGCAAAAAAUAUAUUUAAAUUUAGGACCCGAUAUGGUGCUGACGAUCGGUUUGGGAGUACCCCAGAUCGAAUGUUUCGUUCGGUAUGGGAGGGGCAACGGUCGAACCCACUCGUUCGGAAUGAUAAAAGCCCUAGCCUGAACACCUCCCCAGCCCCUAACAACCCAAAAAGAUGAAUAAAAAGACUAGUAAUGAAAAAAAGAAAACACUCGAAUAUUUCUUUUCUUUUUGCUGUGGUAAAAAAGAAACAAAUUUUUUGCUUUGUUAAGUAAAACUGCCAUCAAUUUUCAAACGCGGAAAAUUGACAUGGGUGAAUAUAUUUUAACAACAACCCAAAAAAGGAAAAAGAAGUCAUGGCAAUUUCCAUCAUACAACACAAAAUAAUUUGCAAAUGGCAAAUUUAUAGCACAAAAUGUAAUGGUAAUUUUUCUUAAAAUUACAUGUAAUGUAUGAGAAAAAUGUCGUGUGUGAAAACACAAAACGGUGAAAAAACAAAGAAAAUACAUCAUAACCAAAAUCAUAUUAAAAUGUGCAUAUAUUUCACAUGGCAAUAAAAAGGUAAAAUCUGCCAUCUUAAUAAAGGUCAAAUAAAUAGUAAAUCUUGCCAUGGCAAUACAAGUUAAAAAUUACCAUGGGAAUUUAGGUAAAUUUUCCAUCUUAAUAAAGGUAAAUUAUCCAUGGCAAAUAAAAAGUAAAACUUGCCAUGGCGAUAAACGUUAAAUAUUGCCAUGGGGAUUUAGGUAAAAUUGGCAUGUUAAUAAUGGUCAAUCUGACAUUGGCAAAUAAUCGGGACGAGCUGAUCGGGAUGUACAAGUGCUCACCUCGGGCGGGUGUAAGAUCUGGAGAGGACGAGGCGCCGGGUCCCGUCCCGUCGGGUGAUGUGAGAUUGGGUCGACAUGUUGCGGGGAACGGCGGCGAGGCGAUGGAGUGCGGGGGAGAGACGGAGGCGGGCGGCUUUUAUAUUAUAGGAGGGCAAGAGGGGUUCGGGGGUAAAAGCACAGAGCUAGGGCUGCCGUAUCCGGCAUCCACCUCGCAUUCUCUGAUUUUUACCAAUUUAUUAAUAGUAGCAAAAAUGCCCGUGCGUGGAAGUAUUGUUUUUGGACAUAUAGUUUAUUGCAUGGUUACUUAUACUUGUAUCAUGAUAUUUAUUUAUUUAACUAACACAUCAUGUUUUUCAAUUUGUCUUCAUAUCACCCGUGAGAUUUAUAUAUAUCCACUAAUGCAUCAUGUGUUUCAUCAGUUUAUCUUGUGAUUUAACCCUGCAUGACACGCUCAUUCAACUUUGGAGCAAAUAUUUCUUUUAAUAAAAACUGAGACAUCCCUUGAUUUUGAAAUUAAAAAAAGAACAAAAAAACAAUUCUAGACCUAGCUAGAGUACCAAACCUAAAAUAAAACAAGAAAACUUGCGACAUAUACACACAAACAGAAAAAAAAACAUUCAAGGAUAUUGGCUUAUGGGUCCAGUGAGAUUGUAAAUUGUUUAUGCUUCCCUAGAUAGUAAAUACUCAAACACAGGCUUUGUCACACACAUUCUCAACCACAGGAUUAACAACUCUAGAAGCUUCAGAUGGGCCCUACGUGUCAUAAGGCCCAGUUCCAUAAAGUUAAGCCCACGUCGAUCUUUAUAGUGAGUCCGACUUUCAUUAUUAGAAAAAAUUUGAAAACUACAUCUUUAUCCUUUCACCUAAACUGCUUCGGCAGAUUUUCCAUCUCUAGCGCCGCUCAUCCGUCGUGCAAUCUUCGCCCAUCGUUGGCGCUGGUUUGCAUCCCUGCUGUCUCCCAACUUACCAACCGGGGCACAGGAUCACCAAGGCCACUGUCAUAGAUCAACUUCGUCGCACGGACAUCCGAGCUCCAGUUCGCACCGCAAGAGCUAAUACAAGGCUCCUGUGGUGGCAAAAAUUGAAGACCGUUUGGUUAGAGCAAAUGUGAACUCGUAGCUUUGUUAAGAAUGAAGACUGUUUGAAUGCAAAUUGCUCUUUAAAAACUAUUUUGUUCAAUAAUUCUCAUGUAAAUAACUAUUUUACAAAGAUAAACCAACCAUUUUUAAAAUAAAAACAUUGCAAAACCAAAUUAAAUCAUUACUGUCUCAUGAUUAGUCUCUUACACGCUCGUGAGUUGGAGAUGGCCAAGCAUCACUCCAGCACUCCAUCGUGUACCCGCUGCUACUCCGAGCGAUGCUGAUGCAGUUUGAAGCUUUUGACCCUCGUUGGUGUUUCAUCGAACACGGUGCGAGCGGACAUGAGGUCACCACCACCGACGCAUGCAUCAAGACAGUUGAGGAAGCAUGAGUUAAAUUAUCCUACUCAUGAUCUGGAGUUAGCAGUUGUGGUACAUGCAUUGAAGAUCUGGAGACACUAUCUGAUUGGUCACAAGAGUGAUAUCUACACCGAUCAUAAGAGCUUGAAGUAUAUAUUCACUCAGACAGGUCUGAAUUUAAGACAACGUCGCUGGCUAGAGCUAAUAAAGGAUUAUGAACCGGAGGUACAUUAUCAUCCAGGUAAGGCAAAUGUUGUAGCUGAUGCUCUCGGUAGGAAGAAAUAUGACAACAAUCGUAAGUUGAGACCAGAGGCAGAAGAGUUGUAUGCGGAGUUGCAACAUCUGAACCUUGGUAUUGUUGCUAGUGCUAUGGAGAUAAAAGUGAUUCCUACGUUGGAGCAAGAAAUACGUAAGGGUCAGCUAGAAGAUGAAAAGCUAAAGGAGAUAACUGAGAAUGUGGUGAUUGGUAAAGCACUUGGCUUAAGAAUAGAUGAGAAUGGAACCUUAUGGUUUGGAAAAAGGAUAUGUGUGCCUGGGGUGAAAGCCAUUCAUGAUACAAUUUUGCGUGAAGCACAUGAGUCAGCCUAUUCUUUUCAUCCUGGAAGUACUAAGAUGUAUCUAAAUCUUAAGGAGAAGUACUGCUGGUAUGGAUUGAAAAGAGAUGUGGCUGAGUAUGUAGCUAUAUGUGACACUUGUCAGAGGGUAAAGCCUGAGCAUCAGAGACCCGCUAGUUUGUUGCAACCAAUGAAUAUUCCUGAGUGGAAACGGGAAGAAGCCGGAAUGGACUUUAUAGUGGGAUUACCACAUACUCAGCAAGGUUAUGAUUCUAUAUGGGUAAUAGUGGAUCGUCUCACUAAAGUCGCUCACUUUUUGCCUGUCAAGACUACUUAUAGCGGGGCAAGAUUGGCAGAGCUAUACAUGGAAAGACUAGUAUGUCAACAUGGAGUUCCUAAGAAGAUUGUGUCUGAUAGAGGUACGCAGUUCACAUCCAUCUUUUGGCAGAAAGUGCAUAAAUCUUUGGGAACGAAGUUGAAUUUCAGUACAGCAUAUAUAUCAUCCUCAGACUGAUGGACAGACAGAAAGGCUCAAUCAGAUUCUUGAAGAUAUGUUGAGAGCUUGUGCAUUGUAGUAUGGUACUAGUUGGGAUAAAAGUUUACCAUAUGCGGAGUUCUAUUACAACAACAGUCACCAGAAUAGUCUAAAGAUGGCACCGUUUGAAGCAUUGUAUGGGUGUAAGUGUAGAACACCGUUGUUCUGGAAUCAAACGGGUGAAAGUUAAGUCUUUGGACCAGAUGUGCUCAGGAAUGCCGAGGAACAAGUCAGGUUGAUUAGAGAGAACUUUAGAGUGGCACAAACUCGUCAGAAGAGCUAUGCAGAUAAUCGAAGAAGAGAAUUAUUUUUUGAAGUAGGAGAUUAUGUCUAUCUAAAAGUAUCACCUAUGAGAAGUCACUAGUAGAAAAAGGGCCAUUUGUCCCGGUUCCAGAGGGCCAUUUGUCCCGGUUCUGGAACCAGGACUAAUACCCAAAACCUUUAGUCCCGGUUUGCUUACGAACCGAGACCAAAGGCCCUCCACGUGGCGCUGCCUGGGGCGGGGGAGGGAGGACCUUUAGUCCCGGUUGGUAACACCAACCGGGACCAAAAGGCGGCCACGCGUCAGCAGCUCGCAGUCGCUGGGGGUUUUGUUUUUUUGGAAGGGGGGGGGGGUUUGGGGUUUUGGAGGGUUAAUUUAGGGGUUUCAUAUUGUGUUAGCGAGCUAAUAGAGAGAAGUGACCUCUCUUUUUCCGUGCUUGGUCGACUGUAGCUACUACACAUAUAGAGAGAACUCGAUGCUAGCUAGUAAGCAAAUAAAGGAAACCAUUAAUUACACAAGAUCGUCAUGAACAUAUAUAGAGAGAAGUGACAUCUCUUUCUUCGUGCUUGGUCGAACAACAAGUUUUCGUAUAUCUAUCCGACGCUGCUACAUAUGUACAAUAUAUAACAUCCCUUACAACAAUUUCAAUUUCACAUGGUAUUCUCCUUGUUCAGGUAUGACGUGGUCAAGAAAGAAUCCCACCAAUUCCUCUUGAAGUGCUCGUAUGCGAUCAUGUGGUAGGAGUUCAUCCCGCAUCUGCCAGAUCUAAUUUAAAGAAGGGGUCAAUACAUAUAUAUGAAUGAAACUCAACACAGUUGAUGGUAAUAUAUAAAAUAAAAUUGUGAAUAUUGUUUACGUACUUCAAAUUGUUUCUCAGAGGAGGCCCGUUCAGAGGUAUAGUAGCGAAUGAACUUGCAUACGUAGUAUCCACAUAAAUGAGUGUUGGGUGCCUGCAACAAGCACUUUACGAGAAUAGAGUUCAAUCAAACUGAUAAGCAAGCAUGAUAAUGGUAUUGAUGAAACUAGAAUCAAUUAGAGAUGCGCGAAACUAGCUAGUACUACUUACUUUGGGGUGUGUAAAUCGCAGCUCCUUCUUCAGACCCGGAACCUUAGCGGUGAACGUUUUCCAAACCCUGGCAGGCAAAGAAAAUGAUUACUUGAUAUCAGGAAUGAACGAAAGUUGCCGAUAUGGUCCAGGUAUUGAUUGAACUUACUUCUGGAGCAUUGCAGUCAUGUACGCAUAAUACUUGGGAUCUUUACGGAGCGAGUCUAAGACAAUUACUAAUGCCCCGUCAAGGUUAAUGAUAGCAGAAUAUAGUGGAAGCUGCGCACGCAUAACUCAUCAAUUACAUUACUUAACCACGAGUAAGCAGAACCAAAUAUGCAGAAGAUAGUAACACUCACUUGAAGUUGUAAGGAAUGAGUAUUUCCCUUUUGUUAACGUUUGUAGUAAGUUGUUCUCGGUAUCUUCGGCCGCCUUUCGUACCGACCAUUCAUUUACGGUAUUUGGGCUAAUGAACCCAACAUCGAAGAUUCCUAUUUUUUUGCAUUCGACCAUCUUCAAUCUGCAUAAUAUAGUGGGGAUAAUUAUAUAUACAUGCAAUGAACAAGCUGAGCUAGAGACUUAAUUAUAGAAGUAAUACUUACAGACAGUAGCAAGUCAUGAGUUGUUUGUCGAGGGCCUUUUGAUUGUAUAAUUUAAAUAACUCCACAAAUUCAACAGGCAACAGGUCGACUCGAGGGAAGUCAUUCUCUUUUUU
RNAcentral lists this long non-coding RNA (7679 nucleotides) under Triticum aestivum (bread wheat). Its description in RNAcentral is "long non-coding RNA (TAES_LNC018717)". Lineage: Eukaryota; Viridiplantae; Streptophyta; Magnoliopsida; Poales; Poaceae. The record is from RNAcentral.